GAUGAUGCAUAGCCGAGUUGAGAGACUGAUCGGCCACAUUGGGACUGAGACACGGCCCAAACUACCUACGGGAGGGCAGCAGUAGGGAAUCUUCCACAAUGGACGCAAGUCUGAUGGAGCAACGCCGCGUGAGUGAAGAAGGGUUUCGGCUCGUAAAGCUCUGUUGUUGGUGAAGAAGGACAGGGUAGUAACUGACCUUUGUUUGACGGUAAUCAAUUAGAAAGUCACGGCUAACUACGUGCCAGCAGCCGCGGUAAU
Molecule: ribosomal RNA, 258 nt
Filed under: uncultured Lactobacillus sp.
Lineage: Bacteria; Bacillati; Bacillota; Bacilli; Lactobacillales; Lactobacillaceae
Description: partial 16S ribosomal RNA
Rfam family: Bacterial small subunit ribosomal RNA
Source: RNAcentral